CGAAGGGGGCUAGCGUUGUUCGGAGUUACUGGGCGUAAAGGGCGCGUAGGCGGCCCUCCAAGUCGGGCGUGAAAGCCCACGGCUCAACCGUGGGAUUGCGCUCGAGACUGAAGGGCUCGAGGACGGGAGAGGAUGGUGGAAUUCCCAGUGUAGAGGUGAAAUUCGUAGAUAUUGGGAAGAACACCGGUGGCGAAGGCGGCCAUCUGGACCGUAUCUGACGCUGAGGCGCGAAAGCGUGGGGAGCAAACAGGAUUAGAUACCCUGGUAGUCCACGCCGUAAACGAUGAGUGCUAGACGUUGGGGAACCUAGUUCCUCGGUGUCGCAGCUAACGCAUUAAGCACUCCGCCUGGGGAGUACGGCCGCAAGGUUA
Molecule: ribosomal RNA, 371 nt
Filed under: uncultured organism
Description: bacterial SSU rRNA
Rfam family: Bacterial small subunit ribosomal RNA
Source: RNAcentral